AUCCCUUUUAGAUAUUUUGGUUAAGAUCAAGUGUAGGAUCUGUUUUUACCAGUUUGAUAUCUGGUACAUCCUUUAUCCCAGGACAAUAUAUUAAGUGAAUUUUUGGAGCAGGGAGAUGGUUGAAAAUAAUACACCAUGCUUAACAUUGACCAUUUGCU
This 158-nucleotide small nuclear RNA is filed under the name Rhinopithecus roxellana (golden snub-nosed monkey). Its description in RNAcentral is "U2 spliceosomal RNA (ENSRROG00000016936.1)". It matches the Rfam family "U2 spliceosomal RNA". Rfam says of the family: U2 is a small nuclear RNA (snRNA) component of the spliceosome (involved in pre-mRNA splicing). Complementary binding between U2 snRNA (in an area lying towards the 5' end but 3' to hairpin I) and the branchpoint sequence (BPS) of the intron results the bulging out of an unpaired adenosine, on the BPS, which initiates a nucleophilic attack at the intronic 5' splice site, thus starting the first of two transesterification reactions that mediate splicing. The record is from RNAcentral. Lineage: Eukaryota; Metazoa; Chordata; Mammalia; Primates; Cercopithecidae.